Molecule: long non-coding RNA, 626 nt
Filed under: Callithrix jacchus (white-tufted-ear marmoset)
Lineage: Eukaryota; Metazoa; Chordata; Mammalia; Primates; Cebidae
Description: lncRNA (ENSCJAG00000074637.1)
Source: RNAcentral
CCCAGCGGACUUGCUAGAAUAGGUAGGUAGGCAGACCUGAGCAGGGCAGGAGAGCCCGUCCCAACAAAUGAGGAAUGUCAGGCAACCAUCAGGUAAUGGUCAAGUGAUUGCUAAAUUGUCUCAUUAAAAUAAUAAUUGGUCACAGCUGGCACCAGGGACAGGCGGUCUCCCCGUAGAUAGAAAACACUAAAGCUAGUGAUCAGCUGAUUCCUGAUCAGGAGAUGGGCAGGUGGGCUCAGGCAUGCGUACUAAGAAGCAAAAUGGCGGGGUUUGACUGCAUAUCACCUUCCUCCAGCAACGUUCAACUCGUAAGGGGAAAAUGCCUGAGGAUUGUUGUUUCUGGGAAAUGGCUGCUUGGCUGUGGACUGUGUCCCAGCUUUCUUCAUAUUGAAGUGUGUCUAACAAUAGAUUCUGAACAGAAAUAAUUUGUGACAUGUUUGAAUGAAGAGACUCAUGACAUGAAUGCCAAUCUUCUAUUUCUACAAAGAAAAUACAUUUAUGUCACAUAUUAUGCAUGAGAAAGGACUAUUUAAUGUCAUCCAUCUUCUGGACACCAAUGCGUAACAGCCAUACCUCUCGGUAAGUCUAUAAUCUUCAUAAUUCCAUUAUUUUUUUCUAAAAAAUUU